AGUCGAGCGGAAACGACAACAUUGACCCUUCGGGUGAUUUGUUGGGCGUCGAGCGGCGGACGGGUGAGUAAUGCCUGGGAAAUUGCCCUGAUGUGGGGGAUAACCAUUGGAAACGAUGGCUAAUACCGCAUAACGUCUACGGACCAAAGAGGGGGACCUUCGGGCCUCUCGCUUCAGGAUAUGCCCAGGUGGGAUUAGCUAGUUGGUGAGGUAAUGGCUCACCAAGGCGACGAUCCCUAGCUGGUCUGAGAGGAUGAUCAGCCACACUGGAACUGAGACACGGUCCAGACUCCUACGGGAGGCAGCAGUGGGGAAUAUUGCACAAUGGGCGCAAGCCUGAUGCAGCCAUGCCGCGUGUAUGAAGAAGGCCUUCGGGUUGUAAAGUACUUUCAGUCGUGAGGAAGGCAUUGAAGUUAAUAGCUUUAUUGUUUGACGUUAGCGACAGAAGAAGCACCGGCUAACUCCGUGCCAGCAGCCGCGGUAAUACGGAGGGUGCGAGCGUUAAUCGGAAUUACUGGGCGUAAAGCGCAUGCAGGUGGUUUGUUAAGUCAGAUGUGAAAGCCCGGGGCUCAACCUCGGAACCGCAUUUGAAACUGGCAGGCUAGAGUACUGUAGAGGGGGGUAGAAUUUCAGGUGUAGCGGUGAAAUGCGUAGAGAUCUGAAGGAAUACCAGUGGCGAAGGCGGCCCCCUGGACAGAUACUGACACUCAGAUGCGAAAGCGUGGGGAGCAAACAGGAUUAGAUACCCUGGUAGUCCACGCCGUAAACGAUGUCUACUUGGAGGUUGUGGCCUUGAGCCGUGGCUUUCGGAGCUAACGCGUUAAGUAGACCGCCUGGGGAGUACGGUCGCAAGAUUAAAACUCAAAUGAAUUGACGGGGGCCCGCACAAGCGGUGGAGCAUGUGGUUUAAUUCGAUGCAACGCGAAGAACCUUACCUACUCUUGACAUCCAGA
This 953-nucleotide ribosomal RNA is filed under the name Vibrio sp. Its description in RNAcentral is "bacterial SSU rRNA". It matches the Rfam family "Bacterial small subunit ribosomal RNA", at positions 60 to 992 of the family's 1533-position model. Lineage: Bacteria; Pseudomonadati; Pseudomonadota; Gammaproteobacteria; Vibrionales; Vibrionaceae. The record is from RNAcentral.